CGGUUGAUCCUGCCGGACCCCACUGCUAUCGGGAUAGGACUAAGACAUGCUAGUCGAGCGCCUCCCAAGCUUUGUGGAGACGCGGCGCACGGCUCAGUAACACGUGGCUAACCUGCCCUUGGGACGGGAAUAACCCCGGGAAACUGGGGCUAAUUCCCGAUAGGUGAGAAACUCUGGAAUGAUUUCUUCGCCCAAAAAACGCUAAAACCAUUCUUUUUAGCGUUCCCCAAGGAUGGAGCCGCGUCCGAUCAGGUAGUUGGUGAGGCAACGGCUCACCAAGCCUUUAACCGGUGCGGGCCGUGAGAGCGGGAGCCCGGAGAUGGGCACUGAGAUAAGGGCCCAGGCCCUACGGGGCGCAGCAGUCGCGAAAACUCUGCAAUACACGAAAGUGUGACAGGGCUAUCCCGAGUGCCUUCCGCUGAGGAAGGCUUUUACCCAGUUUAGAAAGCUGGAAGAAUAAGGAGAGGGCAAGCCUGGUGUCAGCCGCCGCGGUAAUACCAGCUCUCCGAGUGGUGUGGAUGUUUAUUGGGCCUAAAGCAUCCGUAGCUGGCCAAGCUAGUCCCCUGUUAAAUCCAACGAAUUAAUCGUUGGAGUGCGGGGGAUACUGCUUGGCUAGGGGGCGGGAGAGGCCGACGGUAUUCCCGGGGUAGGGGUGAAAUCCUAUAAUCCCGGGAAGACCACCAGUGGCGAAGGCUGUCGGCUAGAACGCGCCCGACGGCGAGGGAUGAAAGCUGGGGGAGCGAACCGGAUUAGAUACCCGGGUAGUCCCAGCUGUAAACGAUGCAGGCUAGGUGUUAGGGCGGCCACGGGCCGCUCUAGUGCCGCAGGGAAGCCGUUAAGCCUGCCGCCUGGGGAGUACGGCCGCAAGGCUGAAACUUAAAGGAAUUGGCGGGGGAGCAC
Molecule: ribosomal RNA, 900 nt
Filed under: uncultured archaeon
Lineage: Archaea
Description: bacterial SSU rRNA
Rfam family: Archaeal small subunit ribosomal RNA
Source: RNAcentral